CCAGUCCCAAUGGCUUCUGCGAUUUUAGUCCGCGUCAUGAAAAACUCCAACACUCUCGGCAUCGCUAUCGAGGGGGGGCAAACACACGGCAGCCCUUACCGCGCAUCGUCACUGUACAGAAAGGAGGCUCCGCCCAUAACUGCGGUCAGCUGCGGGUGGGUCAUGUGAUCGUGGAGGUGAACGGCGUGUCUCUGAGGGGGCGGGAACAUAAGGAGGCCGCGCGGAUCAUCGCCGAAGCCUUCAAGACCAAAGACCAGGACUACGUGGACUUCCUGGUUCUGGAGCCCGGACUCUAGUGACUCCGCCCACGCCGCAGACUCACGACGAUAAUCAAUCAUUCAUCACCAAAACGACGGGAGGAAGGAAGGUGGCACUGUGACGAGAUUUGCACAAAGUAGAUUUAGAAAUUAUAUGAACUACCAGAGAAUGUGUGCUUUGAAUUAUAUAUACUUUAUUAUUAUUUUUUUUGACAUGUCUUUUUAAUAUUAUGAUUAUAAGCUCACACUAUCUCUCUGCAUACCGACAUUCACCGAUAAGUUUAGGCUGUAAUAGUCUGUACCAGGGGGUCUUCAGCGAUCGUGACCCGUCUAGGUGACCACAGAGGCACUUGCUGGGGAUUUGGCAUCAUUGCUUUUAGUAAUCAGGAGGUUGAUUCUAUUUUCUAGUUUUAAAACAAUGCAACUGGACUUAUGUUUUUGGACAGAUGCGUGAGAGCACACCUACAUUAGGGUGACCAGAUGUCCCAGUUUACCCGGGACAGUCCGAGUUUUGAGUCCUGUAAACCAAUUCAAAAUCUCAAUUCAGGAUGCGGAUUAGUGCAUGUCAUAAGUCGUUGACAGUUUUACCUUUAUCGUGGGUAAAGACGGUUUAGAUUUGGAACCCUGCGGCUGAUUCGCGAAUGUCCCAGUUUUUUUAAAUCUGGUCACCCUAACCUACAUGCAUACAUAAAGUGUAGUUCGAACAGAUUCCAUCACAAGCUCACAUGUGGAUCGAGUGUCAGUAAACCGUCAUGCGCGUGAGGCUUUGCAGAGGUGUUGGUACGCGGACUUUGGCCCUUUGUUCAGUCGUCUCAUGGAAGUGAACGCAAGAAUCUCAAAACACUGAACAAACCUAAGGCUCAGAUCACCCUCGCAUAUGUGGCCAACUUGUCUCUCCAGAAAUGGUGCACAUCACUGAAACCAGU
Molecule: long non-coding RNA, 1183 nt
Filed under: Neogobius melanostomus (round goby)
Lineage: Eukaryota; Metazoa; Chordata; Actinopteri; Gobiiformes; Gobiidae
Description: lncRNA (ENSNMLG00000016798.1)
Source: RNAcentral